AUUGAACGCUGGCGGCAUGUUUUACACAUGCAAGUCGAACGGUAACAGGCCGCAAGGUGCUGACGAGUGGCGAACGGGUGAGUAAUGCAUCGGAACGUGCCCAGUCGUGGGGGAUAACUACUCGAAAGAGUAGCUAAUACCGCAUACGAUCUAUGGAUGAAAGCGGGGGACCGUAAGGCCUCGCGCGAUUGGAGCGGCCGAUGUCAGAUUAGGUAGUUGGUGGGGUAAAGGCUCACCAAGCCAACGAUCUGUAGCUGGUCUGAGAGGACGACCAGCCACACUGGGACUGAGACACGGCCCAGACUCCUACGGGAGGCAGCAGUGGGGAAUUUUGGACAGUGGGCGCAAGCCUGAUCCAGCAAUGCCGCGUGCAGGAAGAAGGCCUUCGGGUUGUAAACUGCUUUUGUACGGAACGAAACGGCUCUGGUUAAUACCCGGGGCUAAUGACGGUACCGUAAGAAUAAGCACCGGCUAACUACGU
Molecule: ribosomal RNA, 481 nt
Filed under: uncultured bacterium
Lineage: Bacteria
Description: partial 16S ribosomal RNA
Rfam family: Bacterial small subunit ribosomal RNA
Source: RNAcentral